CCUACGGGUGGCAGCAGUGAGGAAUAUUGGUCAAUGGGCGCGAGCCUGAACCAGCCAAGUAGCGUGAAGGAUGACUGCCCUACGGGUUGUAAACUUCUUUUAUAAAGGAAUAAAGUGAGGCACGUGUGCCUUUUUGUAUGUACUUUAUGAAUUAGGAUCGGCUAACUCCGUGCCAGCAGCCGGGGUAAUACGGAGGAGCGGAGCGUUAACCGGAUUUAUUGGGUUUAAAGGGAGCGGAGAUGGGUUGUUAAGUAAGUUGGGAAAGUUUGCGGCUCAACCGUAAAAUUGCAAUUGAUACUGGCAGUCUUGAGUACAGUUGAGGUAGGCGGAAUUCGUGGUGUAGCGGUGAAAUGCUUAGAUAUCACGAAGAACUCCGAUUGCGAAGGCAGCUUACUAAACUGCCACUGACAUUGAUGCUCGAAAGUGUGGGUAUCAAACAGGAUUAGAUACCCGUGUAGUC
Molecule: ribosomal RNA, 460 nt
Filed under: uncultured bacterium
Lineage: Bacteria
Description: partial 16S ribosomal RNA
Rfam family: Bacterial small subunit ribosomal RNA
Source: RNAcentral